RNAcentral lists this long non-coding RNA (523 nucleotides) under Anas platyrhynchos platyrhynchos (common mallard). Its description in RNAcentral is "lncRNA (ENSAPLG00000026529.1)". Lineage: Eukaryota; Metazoa; Chordata; Aves; Anseriformes; Anatidae. The record is from RNAcentral.
UUUCAAAAGCUCAUCUCUAGUGUAUGUGGUUGCAUUGCAGAUUGUACACAAAUCAUUUGCUGUAUCAAUAAUACAUUUCCUACUUUAAGGGACACUUCAGCUGUAGUAACUGAAAAUCAGCUCCUUGCAAGCAUAGAUCAGUCCUAGGUUAUCCAGUGGGCAAAACCUGCAAUAUGUCAUCUAGACCAGGCGGUCUUCAGCUGCAGGAAUCACAAGAUAUGCCAAGAGGUCAAAGGAAGGGUAGGCAUAUAGGGUAUCAGUCUGUCUCAUCCUCCUGCCCUCUGUUUGACCACCCUACCCUCGAAGUAAAUGUCACCAAGGUGCUGAUUACACCAACAGGAGCAGAUGGAGCUCUUUAUCACAAUUUAGCAGUUCCUCAAAAGGCUGAGCCAAAGUUACCUAAGCCUAACCUGUAUCAAAACUGGGCCUCAUCUCACAUACUGCUGGACCUCUAGGAUGAGAAUUGCACUACUGGUUCCGGAAACCCUGUUUUAGAAUAAAAAAUAAAUAAAUUGCUCCCCCA